AGUGAACGCUGGCGGUAGGCCUAACACAUGCAAGUCGAACGGCAGCACAGUAAGAGCUUGCUCUUACGGGUGGCGAGUGGCGGACGGGUGAGGAAUACAUCGGAAUCUACUUUUUCGUGGGGGAUAACGUAGGGAAACUUACGCUAAUACCGCAUACGACCUACGGGUGAAAGCAGGAGAUCUUCGGACCUUGCGCGAUUGAAUGAGCCGAUGUCGGAUUAGCUAGUUGGCGGGGUAAGGGCCCACCAAGGCGACGAUCCGUAGCUGGUCUGAGAGGAUGAUCAGCCACACUGGAACUGAGACACGGUCCAGACUCCUACGGGAGGCAGCAGUGGGGAAUAUUCGACAAUGGGCGCAAGCCUGAUCCAGCCAUACCGCGUGGGUGAAGAAGGCCUUCGGGUUGUAAAGCCCUUUUGUUGGGAAAGAAAAGCAGCAGGUUAAUCCCCCGCUGUUCUGACGGUACCCAAAGAAUAAGCACCGGCUAACUUCGUG
Molecule: ribosomal RNA, 492 nt
Filed under: uncultured bacterium
Lineage: Bacteria
Description: partial 16S ribosomal RNA
Rfam family: Bacterial small subunit ribosomal RNA
Source: RNAcentral